AAAUAACUUUCUAACUAGUCAUUUAAGAGCAACUCCCGGGAAACUGUGAUGCAAUCCCACAUAUCAGCCAGACUUCAAAAGCUGCCAGAUUAUUGUGAAAGGAGAAACACUGUUUUCGAAGGCUGCUGAUAAUGCCUAUUAGCCAGAAGAAAGAGCCUGAAUCAUUCAAAGGUUUUCCAUCUAGUAAAGAAGUGUGGUAAAAAUCUUGCCCAGAUCUGCAUGUGCUAAGCAUCUACGUAAGUUGGAGCAUCAUAUUAAUGACACCCAGUGAAGAAACGAAAGAAUGAAGUGUAAUUACUAUAUCAAAAAUCCACAGAAUGUGAAAGUAUAAAGGAAAACUCUCAGGUGAGACUCGAUUAUUUUUAUUUCAAAGAUCUAGGUAAAAAUGUGAACAGAUUGGGAGGCUGAGGCAGGAGAAUCACUUGAACCCAGGAGGCAGAAGUUGCAGUGAGCCAAGAUUGCACCAUUGGACUCCAGCCUGGGCAACAGACAAGACUCUAUCUCAAAAAAAAAAUGUGAACAGAUAUAUUGACAUAAAAUUCAUAAAACAUAUGGAUAUACUAAAAACUAGGAAGUCUGGUUGCUUCUGAGGAUAAGAGUUGAGGACCUGUUUCAAGAAUACUUUGCACAGCUUGUACUAUUGCAGUAUUUGAAUUUUUUCUUGUACAUGUAUAACUUUUUUAAAAAGAAUGAGAAAUGCUGUACAAGUGCAACUAUUUUUACUCUGCUCAGCUAAAAACUUUGGAGUUAGACAUAUGGACAGCCCACCCCAAGGGAAGAAUCAGAGGAGAAGGGACACAAGACCCCAGAAACACACAAAGCACCUUAAUAUGCAUGCUGCAUCUCUCUAAAAUUGUGGAACCUGUUUACCUGCUCUGGAGAAUGGCUGCCUGUGGCAGACAUAGGAGUUGUCCUCAUGCUGUGCUUCCUAUCUUCCACAGUAAUUGACUUGUAGCUGCAAUACAGUUACCAACCAGGAAUACAAUUUCUCAGCCCCAUGUCUUGCACCUACAGCUAAGUGUGGCCAUGUGACCAGUUUUCACCAAUUAAGUGUGAAUAGCAACAAAGUGCACCACCUUCAAUUGGAGGCUUUGAAGAAGCAGGGCAGCCUUCCCUUGCUCUCUUUCCCCUUGUUCUGGUGGGAUACAGAUGACAAUAAGGCCCUGGGUUUUGAGGUAGCCACAAGAUGCAAAAUACCUCAGACCUGAGUCACCACAAGGAAGAGAGAAGCCCACUGACAUGGAAUACCCAGCCUAGUCUACAGAUGAAUAAGAAAUAAACUUCUAUUAUGUUCGAACAUUACAGAUUUUGUUCUGUUAUAGCAGUUUAUCUCACCCUGACUAAACUGUUGCCUAUCUUCCAAGAUAGGCCCUCCUUCCCUGAAAGUGACUUUUUCAUACAUGUAAUCUGUAUUUUAAUUCAUAUUCUCCAAAGCAUAUCCACAUCUAUUCAACUAUUUUCAUGUCUUCCAUCAAU
RNAcentral lists this long non-coding RNA (1476 nucleotides) under Homo sapiens (human). RNAcentral's name for it is "HSALNT0294275". The record is from RNAcentral. Lineage: Eukaryota; Metazoa; Chordata; Mammalia; Primates; Hominidae.